RNAcentral lists this ribosomal RNA (332 nucleotides) under uncultured bacterium. Its description in RNAcentral is "bacterial SSU rRNA". It matches the Rfam family "Bacterial small subunit ribosomal RNA", at positions 568 to 898 of the family's 1533-position model. The record is from RNAcentral.
AACGCAGGUGGUUUGGUAAGUCAGGGGGUGAAAGUCCACAGCUUAACUGUGGCACUGCCUCUGAUACUGCCUUUCUUGAGUAGAGUAGGGGGAAGUGGAAUUCCGAGUGUAGAGGUGAAAUUCGUAGAUAUUCGGAGGAACACCGGUGGCGAAGGCGGCUUCCUGGACUCUAACUGACACUCAUGUUCGAAAGCGUGGGUAGCAAACAGGAUUAGAUACCCUGGUAGUCCACGCCCUAAACGAUGGGCACUAGGUGUGGGAGGUAUCGACCCUUCCGUGCCGCAGCUAACGCAUUAAGUGUCCCGCCUGGGGAGUACGGCCGCAAGGUUGAA